CAUGAGUCAUCUGCCCAGAAGUGGGGAAUAGCUCGGCGAAAGCCGGAUUAAUACCGCAUGUGGUCGUAAGACCAAAGCCGGGGCAACCUGGCGCUUUUGGAGGAGCUCGUGGCCUAUCAGCUAGUUGGUGAGGUAACGGCUUACCAAGGCAACGACGGGUAGCUGGUCUGAGAGGACGACCAGCCACACUGGAACUGAGAUACGGUCCAGACACCUACGGGUGGCAGCAGUCGAGAAUUUUUCUCAAUGGGGGAAACCCUGAAGGAGCGACGCCGCGUGGAGGAUGAAUGCUUUCGGGUUGUAAACUCCUGUCAUUUGGGAACAAGGCCUUACGUUAACUACGUGGAGGAUUGAUAGUACCAGAAGAGGAAGAGACGGCUAACUCUGUGCCAGCAGCCGCGGUAAUACAGAGGUCUCGAGCGUUGUUCGGAUUCAUUGGGCGUAAAGGGCGCGUAGGCGGCGGGGUAAGUCUGGUGUGAAAUCUAGGAGCUCAACUCCUAAACUGCACUGGAUACUGCUCUGCUAGAGGACUGGAGAGGAGACUGGAAUUCACGGUGUAGCAGUGAAAUGCGUAGAUAUCGUGAGGAAGACCAGUGGC
Molecule: ribosomal RNA, 598 nt
Filed under: uncultured bacterium
Lineage: Bacteria
Description: bacterial SSU rRNA
Rfam family: Bacterial small subunit ribosomal RNA
Source: RNAcentral